UUUUUUAGGUUUUUUUUCCCGGAGAGGGAGCCUGAGAAACGGCUACCACAUCACAAGGAAGGCAGCAGGCGCGCAAAUUACCCAAUCCCGACACGGGGAGGUAGUGACAAUAAAUACUGAUACGGGGCUCUUUCGGGUCUCGUAAUUGGAAUGAGUACAAUCUAAAUCCCUUAACGAGGAACAAUUGGAGGGCAAGUCUGGUGCCAGCAGCCGCGGUAAUUCCAGCUCCAAUAGCGUAUAUUAAAGUUGUUGCAGUUAAAAAGCUUGUAGUUGAACCUUGGGUCUGGCUGGCCGGUCCGCCUCACCGCGAGUCCUGGUCCGGCUGGACCUUUCCUUCUGGGGAAUCCCAUGGCCUUCACUGGCUGUGGGGGGAACCAGGACUUUUACUGUGAAAAAAUUAGAGUGUUCAAAGCAGGUCUUUGCUUGAAUACAUUAGCAUGGAAUAAUAGAAUUGGACGUGCGGUUCUAUUUUGUUGGUUUCUAGUACCGCCGUAAUGAUUAAUAGGGAUAGUCGGGGGCGUCAGUAUUCAGCUGUCAGAGGUGAAUUUCUUGGAGUUCUAUCCG
RNAcentral lists this ribosomal RNA (564 nucleotides) under Aspergillus terreus. Its description in RNAcentral is "partial 18S ribosomal RNA". It matches the Rfam family "Eukaryotic small subunit ribosomal RNA", at positions 370 to 934 of the family's 1831-position model. The record is from RNAcentral. Lineage: Eukaryota; Fungi; Ascomycota; Eurotiomycetes; Eurotiales; Aspergillaceae.